This 492-nucleotide ribosomal RNA is filed under the name uncultured bacterium. RNAcentral's name for it is "partial 16S ribosomal RNA". It matches the Rfam family "Bacterial small subunit ribosomal RNA", at positions 30 to 507 of the family's 1533-position model. The record is from RNAcentral.
AUUGAACGCUGGCGGCAUGCUUUACACAUGCAAGUCGAACGGUAACAGGCCUUCGGGUGCUGACGAGUGGCGAACGGGUGAGUAAUGCAUCGGAACGUACCCAGAGGUGGGGGAUAACGCAGCGAAAGCUGUGCUAAUACCGCAUGUGAUCUGAGGAUGAAAGCGGGGGACCGAGCAGCAAUGUUUGGCCUCGCGCCUUUGGAGCGGCCGAUGUCGGAUUAGCUAGUUGGUGGGGUAAAGGCCUACCAAGGCGACGAUCCGUAGCUGGUCUGAGAGGACGACCAGCCACACUGGGACUGAGACACGGCCCAGACUCCUACGGGAGGCAGCAGUGGGGAAUUUUGGACAAUGGGCGCAAGCCUGAUCCAGCAAUGCCGCGUGCUGGAAGAAGGCCUUCGGGUUGUAAACCGCUUUUGGCAGGAACGAAACGGUGUCCGCUAAUACCGGGCGCUAAUGACGGUACCUGCAGAAUAAGCACCGGCUAACUACGUG